GAACCCAGCAUCACUCAAGCUUUCAAUUUUAGUUGAGUUUCUUGGCAUAAAGAUCAUCAUACUCAAAUGGCACAUUCCGAGCUUCAAUUGCACGAACAACGGGACGGUACUCACUAUCUAACCCUUUUAGAAUAUCAUUAACGAGAGUUUCAUCAGACACAGGUUCUUGAAGAGCUGCUAGCUGAUCGGCGAUUGUCCUGGCUUGCUGCAUGUAACUGUCAAU
RNAcentral lists this unclassified non-coding RNA (223 nucleotides) under Hevea brasiliensis (rubber tree). Lineage: Eukaryota; Viridiplantae; Streptophyta; Magnoliopsida; Malpighiales; Euphorbiaceae. The record is from RNAcentral.